Molecule: unclassified non-coding RNA, 376 nt
Filed under: soil metagenome
Description: partial contains 5.8S ribosomal RNA, internal transcribed spacer 2, and large subunit ribosomal RNA
Rfam family: 5.8S ribosomal RNA (bases 1-120)
Source: RNAcentral
GAUGAAGAACGCAGCGAAAUGCGAUAAGUAAUGUGAAUUGCAGAAUUCAGUGAAUCAUCGAAUCUUUGAACGCACCUUGCGCUCCUUGGUAUUCUGAGGAGCAUGCCUGUUUGAGUGUCAUUAAAUUCUCAACUACACUGACUUUGAAUUGGUGUGGCUUGGAUUUGGGGGGAAAAUUGUUGUGGGCUUUUUGUAUAGUCUGCUCCCCUGAAAUUGAUUAGCGGUACCUUUGUGGAACUGUCUACAGGUGUGAUAAUUAUCUACAUCUUAGACAUCUGCUGGAAUGCUGCUUUCUAAACCUUACUUGUAUUGACAAUCUUGACCUCAAAUCAGGUAGGACUACCCGCUGAACUUAAGCAUAUCAAUAAGCGGAGGA